This 72-nucleotide transfer RNA is filed under the name Camelus bactrianus (Bactrian camel). It matches the Rfam family "tRNA". Rfam says of the family: Transfer RNA (tRNA) molecules are approximately 80 nucleotides in length. Their secondary structure includes four short double-helical elements and three loops (D, anti-codon, and T loops). Further hydrogen bonds mediate the characteristic L-shaped molecular structure. tRNAs have two regions of fundamental functional importance: the anti-codon, which is responsible for specific mRNA codon recognition, and the 3' end, to which the tRNAs corresponding amino acid is attached (by aminoacyl-tRNA synthetases). tRNAs cope with the degeneracy of the genetic code in two manners: having more than one tRNA (with a specific anti-codon) for a particular amino acid; and 'wobble' base-pairing, i.e. permitting non-standard base-pairing at the 3rd anti-codon position. RNAcentral also lists the same sequence under 1 other name. Lineage: Eukaryota; Metazoa; Chordata; Mammalia; Artiodactyla; Camelidae. The record is from Rfam by way of RNAcentral.
GAAGGUAUAGCUCAGUGGUAGAGUGUGUGCUUAGCAUGCACAAGGUCCUGGGUUCAAUCCCCAGUACCUCUA